This is a long non-coding RNA of Neomonachus schauinslandi (Hawaiian monk seal), 100 nucleotides long. RefSeq lists it as uncharacterized. The transcript is spliced from 3 exons. The record is from RefSeq and is a predicted model, not a curated record. Lineage: Eukaryota; Metazoa; Chordata; Mammalia; Carnivora; Phocidae.
GAGCAUCUCAUUUAUACUGAAUCAUCAGAGAAUUAACAAGGUAAUUGCCAAUAACUGCCAUGUAAAGAAAACUAAAGCAGUUCAGUGAAGAGUGAAUUUA